UACGUAGGGAGCGAGCGUUGUCCGGAAUCAUUGGGCGUAAAGGGCGUGUAGGUGGCUCAAUUAGUCUGCUGUGAAAGUCAAAGGCUCAACCUUUGAAAGCCGGUGGAUACUGUUGAUCUAGAGUACGGAAGAGGCGAGUGGAAUUCCUGGUGUAGCGGUGGAAUGCGCAGAUAUCAGGAGGAACACCAAUAGCGAAGGCAGCUCGCUGGGACGUUACUGACACUGAGAUGCGAAAGCGUGGGGAGCAAACAGG
RNAcentral lists this ribosomal RNA (253 nucleotides) under uncultured bacterium. RNAcentral's name for it is "partial 16S ribosomal RNA". It matches the Rfam family "Bacterial small subunit ribosomal RNA", at positions 524 to 776 of the family's 1533-position model. The record is from RNAcentral.